This 356-nucleotide ribosomal RNA is filed under the name uncultured Glomeraceae. RNAcentral's name for it is "SSU rRNA". It matches the Rfam family "Eukaryotic small subunit ribosomal RNA", at positions 569 to 929 of the family's 1831-position model. The record is from RNAcentral. Lineage: Eukaryota; Fungi; Glomeromycota; Glomeromycetes; Glomerales; Glomeraceae.
AACAGCCGCGGUAAUUCCAGCUCCAAUAGCGUAUAUUAAAGUUGUUGCAGUUAAAAAGCUCGUAGUUGAAUUUCGGGGUCAGUAGAUUGGUCGUGCCACUGGUAUGUACUGGUCUUACUGGCUCCUCCUUCCUGAUGAACCGUAAUGCCAUUAAUUUGGUGUUGCGGGGAGACUGGACUGUUACUUUGAAAAAAUUAGAGUGUUUAAAGCAGGCUAACGCUUGAAUACAUUAGCAUGGAAUAAUGAAAUAGGACGUUCGAUCUUAUUUUGUUGGUUUCUAGGAUUGACGUAAUGAUUAAUAGGGAUAGUUGGGGGCAUUAGUAUUCAAUUGUCAGAGGUGAAAUUCUUGGAUUUAU